UGAGCGGUUGGUGUAGUGGCAACACAUCGGUCUUCGGAACCGUUGUCGGGAGUUCGAUCCUCUCACCGCUUGU
RNAcentral lists this transfer RNA (73 nucleotides) under candidate division SR1 bacterium. RNAcentral's name for it is "tRNA-Arg". It matches the Rfam family "tRNA". Rfam says of the family: Transfer RNA (tRNA) molecules are approximately 80 nucleotides in length. Their secondary structure includes four short double-helical elements and three loops (D, anti-codon, and T loops). Further hydrogen bonds mediate the characteristic L-shaped molecular structure. tRNAs have two regions of fundamental functional importance: the anti-codon, which is responsible for specific mRNA codon recognition, and the 3' end, to which the tRNAs corresponding amino acid is attached (by aminoacyl-tRNA synthetases). tRNAs cope with the degeneracy of the genetic code in two manners: having more than one tRNA (with a specific anti-codon) for a particular amino acid; and 'wobble' base-pairing, i.e. permitting non-standard base-pairing at the 3rd anti-codon position. The record is from RNAcentral. Lineage: Bacteria; Candidatus Absconditibacteriota.